RNAcentral lists this unclassified non-coding RNA (230 nucleotides) under Glomeromycotina sp. Its description in RNAcentral is "partial contains small subunit ribosomal RNA, internal transcribed spacer 1, and 5.8S ribosomal RNA". The stretch from base 1 to 47 matches the Rfam family "Eukaryotic small subunit ribosomal RNA", at positions 1785 to 1831 of the family's 1831-position model. The record is from RNAcentral. Lineage: Eukaryota; Fungi; Glomeromycota.
AAAGUCGUAACAAGGUUUCCAUAGGUGAACCUGCGGAAGGAUCAUUACCAAUGGAAAAGGGAUUUCAACUUGUUGAAAUUCCCUUUUUUACCAUAUAACAAAACCCCAACCAAUGCACUUAUUGAAAGGAUUUAUUGACUUUUUUUCUGUAUAUUAUGUCUGAACAAUUUUACUUAACAAGUAAAAAAAAAAAUUUAAUACAACUUUCAACAACAGAUCUCUUGGCUCUC